This 269-nucleotide long non-coding RNA is filed under the name Chinchilla lanigera (long-tailed chinchilla). RNAcentral's name for it is "lncRNA (ENSCLAG00000024908.1)". Lineage: Eukaryota; Metazoa; Chordata; Mammalia; Rodentia; Chinchillidae. The record is from RNAcentral.
ACCCAUGCUGCAUGGGGGUGUAUGGUGCCGCUGCGUCAGGCCGGAUAUCUGCUGUCAGUGCUCAGAGCUCUGCGGUGCUGGCGGCGCUCUGCGUGGUUCUCACAUGGAGACCCUGCUUGUUGCAGGCCAGUUUUACUGAACUGACUUUGGGUAAAAGCUGGAGUGUGGAAAUCGCCGCAGGAAGUCACGGCGCAGAGCGACCGGGGAUCCAGCCUGACUGGUGCAGCCCUGCCGUGCUCGGAGCCUGGUUCUUGGCAAGUGGCAAGUGA